This 323-nucleotide ribosomal RNA is filed under the name uncultured Glomus. RNAcentral's name for it is "SSU rRNA". It matches the Rfam family "Eukaryotic small subunit ribosomal RNA", at positions 569 to 899 of the family's 1831-position model. Lineage: Eukaryota; Fungi; Glomeromycota; Glomeromycetes; Glomerales; Glomeraceae. The record is from RNAcentral.
AGCAGCCGCGGUAAUUCCAGCUCCAAUAGCGUAUAUUAAAGUUGUUGCAGUUAAAAAGCUCGUAGUUGAAUUUCGGGAUCAAUAUGCCGGUCAUGCCUUGGUAUGCACUGGUAUCUUUGAUUUCUCCCUUCUGACGAACUUUGAUGUCAUUAAUUUGGUGUCAUAGGGAAUAAGGACUGUUACUUUGAAAAAAUUGAGUGUUUAAAGCAGGCUCACGCUUAGAAUACAUUAGCAUGGAAUAAAUGAAAUGGACGUUUGAUUCUAUUUUGUGGUUUCUAGGAUCGACGUAAUGAUUAAUAGGGAUAGUUGGGGCAUUAGUAUUC